Molecule: ribosomal RNA, 410 nt
Filed under: Streptomyces brevispora
Lineage: Bacteria; Bacillati; Actinomycetota; Actinomycetes; Kitasatosporales; Streptomycetaceae
Description: bacterial SSU rRNA
Rfam family: Bacterial small subunit ribosomal RNA
Source: RNAcentral
AUGGCUCAGGACGAACGCUGGCGGCGUGCUUAACACAUGCAAGUCGAACGAUGAAGCCCUUCGGGGUGGAUUAGUGGCGAACGGGUGAGUAACACGUGGGCAAUCUGCCCUUCACUCUGGGACAAGCCCUGGAAACGGGGUCUAAUACCGGAUAAUACUUUCCCUCUCAUGGGGGAAGGUUAAAAGCUCCGGCGGUGAAGGAUGAGCCCGCGGCCUAUCAGCUAGUUGGUGGGGUAAUGGCCUACCAAGGCGACGACGGGUAGCCGGCCUGAGAGGGCGACCGGCCACACUGGGACUGAGACACGGCCCAGACUCCUACGGGAGGCAGCAGUGGGGAAUAUUGCACAAUGGGCGAAAGCCUGAUGCAGCGACGCCGCGUGAGGGAUGACGGCCUUCGGGUUGUAAACCUC